UACGUAGGGGGCGAGCGUUGUCCGGAAUUAUUGGGCGUAAAGAGCGUGUAGGCGGUUCGGUAAGUCUGCCGUGAAAACCUGGGGCUCAACCCCGGGCGUGCGGUGGAUACUGCCGGGCUAGAGGGUGGUAGAGGCGAGUGGAAUUCCCGGUGUAGCGGUGAAAUGCGCAGAUAUCGGGAGGAACACCUGUGGCGAAAGCGGCGCACUGGACCACAACUGACGCUGAGGCGCGAAAGCUAGGGGGAGCAAACAGG
Molecule: ribosomal RNA, 254 nt
Filed under: uncultured bacterium
Lineage: Bacteria
Description: partial 16S ribosomal RNA
Rfam family: Bacterial small subunit ribosomal RNA
Source: RNAcentral